AGCGAACGCUGGCGGCAGGCCUAACACAUGCAAGUCGAGCGCCCGUAGCAAUACGGGAGCGGCAGACGGGAGAGUAACACGUGGGAACGUACCCUUCAGUUCGGAACAACCCAGGGAAACUUGGGCUAAUACCGAAUACGUCCGUAAGGAGAAAGAUUUAUCGCUGAAGGAUCGGCCCGCGUCUGAUUAGCUAGUUGGUGAGGUAAUGGCUCACCAAGGCGACGAUCAGUAGCUGGCUGAGAGGAUGAUCAGCCUCACUGGGACUGAGACACGGCCCAGACUCCUACGGGAGGCAGCAGUGGGGAAUAUUGGGACAAUGGGCGCAAGCCUGAUCCAGCCAUGCCGCGUGGGUGAUGAAGGCCCUAGGGUUGUAAAGCCCUUUGGCGGGAAGAUAAUGACGGUACCGCAGAAGAAGCCCCGGCUAACUUCGUGCCAG
This 436-nucleotide ribosomal RNA is filed under the name uncultured bacterium. RNAcentral describes it as "bacterial SSU rRNA". It matches the Rfam family "Bacterial small subunit ribosomal RNA", at positions 29 to 511 of the family's 1533-position model. The record is from RNAcentral.